Molecule: ribosomal RNA, 2826 nt
Filed under: Serratia marcescens
Lineage: Bacteria; Pseudomonadati; Pseudomonadota; Gammaproteobacteria; Enterobacterales; Yersiniaceae
Description: bacterial LSU rRNA
Rfam family: Bacterial large subunit ribosomal RNA
Source: RNAcentral
AGCGUACACGGUGGAUGCCUAGGCAGUCAGAGGCGAUGAAGGGCGUGCUAAUCUGCGAAAAGCGUCGGUAAGGUGAUAUGAACCGUUAUAACCGGCGAUACCCGAAUGGGGAAACCCAGUGUGUUUCGACACACUAUCAUGUCAUGAAUACAUAGUGGCAUGAGGCGAACCGGGGGAACUGAAACAUCUAAGUACCCCGAGGAAAAGAAAUCAACCGAGAUUCCCCCAGUAGCGGCGAGCGAACGGGGAGGAGCCCAGAACCUGAAUCGGCUUGUGUGUUAGUGGAAGCGUCUGGAAAGUCGCGCAGCAAAGGGUGAUAGCCCCGUACACUAAAAUGCACAGGUCGUGAGUUCGAUGAGUAGGGCGGGACACGUGACAUCCUGUCUGAAUAUGGGGGGACCAUCCUCCAAGGCUAAAUACUCCUGACUGACCGAUAGUGAACCAGUACCGUGAGGGAAAGGCGAAAAGAACCCCGGCGAGGGGAGUGAAAUAGAACCUGAAACCGUGUACGUACAAGCAGUGGGAGCACCUUCGUGGUGUGACUGCGUACCUUUUGUAUAAUGGGUCAGCGACUUAUAUUUUGUAGCAAGGUUAACCGUAUAGGGGAGCCGUAGGGAAACCGAGUCUUAACUGGGCGAUUAGUUGCAAGGUAUAGACCCGAAACCCGGUGAUCUAGCCAUGGGCAGGUUGAAGGUUGGGUAACACUAACUGGAGGACCGAACCGACUAAUGUUGAAAAAUUAGCGGAUGACUUGUGGCUGGGGGUGAAAGGCCAAUCAAACCGGGAGAUAGCUGGUUCUCCCCGAAAGCUAUUUAGGUAGCGCCUCGUGAACUCAUCUUCGGGGGUAGAGCACUGUUUCGGCUAGGGGGCCAUCCCGGCUUACCAAACCGAUGCAAACUCCGAAUACCGAAGAAUGUUAUCACGGGAGACACACGGCGGGUGCUAACGUCCGUCGUGAAGAGGGAAACAACCCAGACCGCCAGCUAAGGUCCCAAAGUCAUGGUUAAGUGGGAAACGAUGUGGGAAGGCAUAGACAGCCAGGAUGUUGGCUUAGAAGCAGCCAUCAUUUAAAGAAAGCGUAAUAGCUCACUGGUCGAGUCGGCCUGCGCGGAAGAUGUAACGGGGCUAAACCAUGCACCGAAGCUGCGGCAGCGACGCUUAGGCGUUGUUGGGUAGGGGAGCGUUCUGUAAGCCGUUGAAGGUGGCCUGUGAGGGUUGCUGGAGGUAUCAGAAGUGCGAAUGCUGACAUAAGUAACGAUAAAGCGGGUGAAAAGCCCGCUCGCCGGAAGACCAAGGGUUCCUGUCCAACGUUAAUCGGGGCAGGGUGAGUCGACCCCUAAGGCGAGGCUGAAAAGCGUAGUCGAUGGGAAACAGGUUAAUAUUCCUGUACUUGGUGUUACUGCGAAGGGGGGACGGAGAAGGCUAGGCUAGCCGGGCGACGGUUGUCCCGGUUUAAGCGUGUAGGGGGUGUGACCUGGUAAAUCCGGUUGCAUAUUAACCCUGAGGCGUGAUGACGAUGCACUACGGUGCAGAAGUAGUUGAUGCCCUGCUUCCAGGAAAAUCCUCUAAGCAUCAGGUAACAUUAAAUCGUACCCCAAACCGACACAGGUGGUCAGGUAGAGAAUACCAAGGCGCUUGAGAGAACUCGGGUGAAGGAACUAGGCAAAAUGGUGCCGUAACUUCGGGAGAAGGCACGCUGGCAUGUAGGUGAAGUCCCUCGCGGAUGGAGCUGAAGCCAGUCGAAGAUACCAGCUGGCUGCAACUGUUUAAUAAAAACACAGCACUGUGCAAACACGAAAGUGGACGUAUACGGUGUGACGCCUGCCCGGUGCUGGAAGGUUAAUUGAUGGGGUCAGCCGCAAGGCGAAGCUCUUGAUCGAAGCCCCAGUAAACGGCGGCCGUAACUAUAACGGUCCUAAGGUAGCGAAAUUCCUUGUCGGGUAAGUUCCGACCUGCACGAAUGGCGUAAUGAUGGCCAGGCUGUCUCCACCCGAGACUCAGUGAAAUUGAACUCGCUGUGAAGAUGCAGUGUACCCGCGGCAAGACGGAAAGACCCCGUGAACCUUUACUAUAGCUUGACACUGAACAUUGAGCCUUGAUGUGUAGGAUAGGUGGGAGGCUUUGAAGCGUGGACGCCAGUCUGCGUGGAGCCAUCCUUGAAAUACCACCCUUUAAUGUUUGAUGUUCUAACUCGGCCCCAUAAUCUGGGGUGAGGACAGUGUCUGGUGGGUAGUUUGACUGGGGCGGUCUCCUCCCAAAGAGUAACGGAGGAGCACGAAGGUUAGCUAAUCACGGUCGGACAUCGUGAGGUUAGUGCAAAGGCAUAAGCUAGCUUGACUGCGAGAGUGACGGCUCGAGCAGGUACGAAAGUAGGUCUUAGUGAUCCGGUGGUUCUGAAUGGAAGGGCCAUCGCUCAACGGAUAAAAGGUACUCCGGGGAUAACAGGCUGAUACCGCCCAAGAGUUCAUAUCGACGGCGGUGUUUGGCACCUCGAUGUCGGCUCAUCACAUCCUGGGGCUGAAGUAGGUCCCAAGGGUAUGGCUGUUCGCCAUUUAAAGUGGUACGCGAGCUGGGUUUAGAACGUCGUGAGACAGUUCGGUCCCUAUCUGCCGUGGGCGUUGGAAGAUUGAGAGGGGUUGCUCCUAGUACGAGAGGACCGGAGUGAACGCACCACUGGUGUUCGGGUUGUCAUGCCAAUGGCAUUGCCCGGUAGCUAAGUGCGGAAAAGAUAAGCGCUGAAAGCAUCUAAGCGCGAAACUUGCCUCAAGAUGAGUCUUCCCUGGGCCUUUAAGGCCCCUGAAGGAACGUUUAAGACUAAGACGUUGA